CGAGUACAGUGGCGAACGGGUGCGUAACACGUGAGUACUUCCCUCUUAGUGAAGAAUACCUUCGAGAAAUCGAAGUUAAUACUGCAUAAGUCCCUUCGGGGAGAAAGGUGGCCUCUUGCUGCCGCUAAGAGAUAGGCUUGCGGACUAUUAGCUUGUUGGUGGGGUAAUGGCCUACCAAGGCAAUGAUGGUUAGCCGACCUGAGAGGGUGAUCGGCCACAUUGGGACUGAGAUACGGCCCAGACUCCUACGGGAGGCAGCAGUGGGGAAUAUUGCACAAUGGGCGAAAGCCUGAUGCAGCGACGCCGCGUGGAGGAUGACGGUUUUCGGAUUGUAAACUCCUGUUAAGUGGGAAGAAAGAUAUGUAGUUAAUAGCUACAGAAGAUGACGGUACCACUAAAGAAAGCUCCGGCUAACUUCGUGCCAGCAGCCGCGGUAAUACGAGGGGAGCAAGCGUUAUUCGGAAUUACUGGGCGUAAAGGGCGCGUAGGCGGCAUACCAAGUCAGUUGUUAAAGACCUCGGCUCAACCGAGGAAGUGCGAUUGAAACUGGUAAGCUAGAGUACGGAAGAGAGAAGUGGAAUUAUCGGAGUAGCGGUAAAAUGCGUAGAUCUCGAUAGGAACACCAAUUGCGAAGGCAGCUUCUUGGUCUGUAACUGACGCUGAGGCGCGAAAGCGUGGGUAGCAAACAGGAUUAGAUACCCUGGUAGUCCACGCCGUAAACGAUGAUCACUAGAUGUUGGUUCUGCUUGCAGAAUCAGUGUCGUAGCUAACGCGUUAAGUGAUCCGCCUGGGGACUACGGUCGCAAGAUUAAAACUCAAAGGAAUUGACGGGGGUCCGCACAAGCGGUGGAACAUGUGGUUUAAUUCGACACUACGCGAGGAACCUUACCUAGGCUUGACAUGCUUUAGACCGCCAUGGAAACAUGGUCUUCUAAGUUUACUUAGACUAUUGCACAGGUGCUGCAUGGCUGUCGUCAGCUCGUGUCGUGAGAUGUUGGGUUAAGUCCUUUAACGAGCGCAACCCCUGCUAUCAGUUGCUACUAUUUAGUUAAGCACUCUGAUGGGACUGCCUGGGAAACCAGGAGGAAGGUGGGGACGACGUCAAGUCAUCAUGGCCCUUAUGUCUAGGGCAACACACGUGUUACAAUGGCUAGUACAAAGGGAAGCGAGCCCGCGAGGGGGAGCAAAUCCCAGAAAGCUAGUCUAAGUUCGGAUUGAAGUCUGCAACUCGACUUCAUGAAGUUGAAAUCGCUAGUAAUCGCGUAUCAGAACGACGCGGUGAAUACGUUCUCGGACCUUGUACACACCGCCCGUCACACCACGAAAAUUGUCCUCACCCGAAAUCAUCUUAGCUAACCUCGCAAGAGGGGGCGGGUGCUGAAGGUGGGGGGAGUAAUUGGGGUGAAGUCGGAACAAGGUA
This 1420-nucleotide ribosomal RNA is filed under the name metagenome. RNAcentral's name for it is "bacterial SSU rRNA". It matches the Rfam family "Bacterial small subunit ribosomal RNA". The record is from RNAcentral.